This 69-nucleotide transfer RNA is filed under the name Apareiodon affinis (darter characine). Its description in RNAcentral is "tRNA-His". It matches the Rfam family "tRNA". From Rfam's summary of the family: Transfer RNA (tRNA) molecules are approximately 80 nucleotides in length. Their secondary structure includes four short double-helical elements and three loops (D, anti-codon, and T loops). Lineage: Eukaryota; Metazoa; Chordata; Actinopteri; Characiformes; Parodontidae. The record is from RNAcentral.
GUAGAUAUAGUUUAAGCAAAAUACUAGAUUGUGGUUCUAAAGAUAGAGGUUAAAGUCCUCUUAUCAACC